GGGUUGUGAGGUUAAGCGACUAAGCGUACACGGUGGAUGCCCUGGCAGUCAGAGGCGAUGAAGGGCGUGCUAAUCUGCGAUAAGCGCCGGUAAGGUGAUAUGAACCGUUAUAACCGGCGAUACCCGAAUGGGGAAACCCAGUGUGAUUCGUCACACUAUCAUUAACUGAAUCCAUAGGUUAAUGAGGCGAACCGGGGGAACUGAAACAUCUAAGUACCCCGAGGAAAAGAAAUCAACCGAGAUUCCCCCAGUAGCGGCGAGCGAACGGGGAGGAGCCCAGAGCCUGAAUCAGCAUGUGUGUUAGUGGAAGCGUCUGGAAAGGCGCGCGAUACAGGGUGACAGCCCCGUACACAAAAGCGCAUGUGCUGUGAGCUCGAUGAGUAGGGCGGGACACGUGGUAUCCUGUCUGAAUAUGGGGGGACCAUCCUCCAAGGCUAAAUACUCCUGACUGACCGAUAGUGAACCAGUACCGUGAGGGAAAGGCGAAAAGAACCCCGGCGAGGGGAGUGAAAAAGAACCUGAAACCGUGUACGUACAAGCAGUGGGAGCACCCUUUGGGUGUGACUGCGUACCUUUUGUAUAAUGGGUCAGCGACUUAUAUUCUGUAGCAAGGUUAACCGAAUAGGGGAGCCGGAGGGAAACCGAGUCUUAACCGGGCGUUAAGUUGCAGGGUAUAGACCCGAAACCCGGUGAUCUAGCCAUGGGCAGGUUGAAGGUUGGGUAACACUAACUGGAGGACCGAACCGACUAAUGUUGAAAAAUUAGCGGAUGACCUGUGGCUGGGGGUGAAAGGCCAAUCAAACCGGGAGAUAGCUGGUUCUCCCCGAAAGCUAUUUAGGUAGCGCCUCGUGAAUUCAUCUCCGGGGGUAGAGCACUGUUUCGGCUAGGGGGCCAUCCCGGCUUACCAACCCGAUGCAAACUGCGAAUACCGGAGAAUGUUAUCACGGGAGACACACGGCGGGUGCUAACGUCCGUCGUGAAGAGGGAAACAACCCAGACCGCCAGCUAAGGUCCCAAAGUCAUGGUUAAGUGGGAAACGAUGUGGGAAGGCCCAGACAGCCAGGAUGUUGGCUUAGAAGCAGCCAUCAUUUAAAGAAAGCGUAAUAGCUCACUGGUCGAGUCGGCCUGCGCGGAAGAUGUAACGGGGCUAAACCAUGCACCGAAGCUGCGGCAGCGACACUGUGUGUUGUUGGGUAGGGGAGCGUUCUGUAAGCCUGUGAAGGUGUGUCGUGAGGCAUGCUGGAGGUAUCAGAAGUGCGAAUGCUGACAUAAGUAACGAUAAAGCGGGUGAAAAGCCCGCUCGCCGGAAGACCAAGGGUUCCUGUCCAACGUUAAUCGGGGCAGGGUGAGUCGACCCCUAAGGCGAGGCCGAAAGGCGUAGUCGAUGGGAAACGGGUUAAUAUUCCCGUACUUGGUGUUACUGCGAAGGGGGGACGGAGAAGGCUAUGUUGGCCGGGCGACGGUUGUCCCGGUUUAAGCGUGUAGGUGUGUGUUCCAGGUAAAUCCGGUUCACUUUAACACUGAGGCGUGACGACGAGGCACUACGGUGCUGAAGCAACAAAUGCCCUGCUUCCAGGAAAA
RNAcentral lists this ribosomal RNA (1581 nucleotides) under Salmonella enterica. Its description in RNAcentral is "partial 23S ribosomal RNA". It matches the Rfam family "Bacterial large subunit ribosomal RNA", at positions 1 to 1616 of the family's 2925-position model. The record is from RNAcentral. RNAcentral also lists the same sequence under 1 other name. Lineage: Bacteria; Pseudomonadati; Pseudomonadota; Gammaproteobacteria; Enterobacterales; Enterobacteriaceae.